UAGUCGGCGGCUCCUUCACAGCGCCCAAGGUGCGGAGCCGACUCCCAGUUCGCGCACCGCAGCGGCAGCCAGCCUGCAUAACCGAUAAAUUACACUGCGGGUGCUCAAAAUUACGGGGCCUCUGCGGCGGGGAGCAAGCUCGCGCAAUUGGUGGCCCAGAACACCCUCUCGCCCUCUGGUCGCAGGUCGCAGCCAUGUCGCUCAGCAUGCGGAGCUCCAUUGUGGGCCAGUCUCUGGCCUUCAAGCCUGCCACCGCGCAGGUUCGCGUUGCGCGCGUGCUCACCGUGGACGCCAAGAAGGUCUGCGACCUGACUGGCAAGAAGCGCAACAAGGCCAACUCGGUCUGCUUCUCUAACAAGAAGAGCCGCAAGUGGCAGGAGCCCAACCUGCAGAACAAGAAGGUGUUCUGGGAGGAGGGCCAGCGCUGGGUGAAGCUCCGCAUUUGCACCAAGGCUAUCAAGACCCUGGAGAACAAGGGCAUCGCUACGAUGGCUGCUGAGGCCGGUAUCGAUCUGUGGAAGCUGCCUUUCGAGGACGCUCGCCCCCAGCGCAAGGCUUACCUGGCGGAGAACGCUGGCAAGGUGCCCGUGGGCUCCAACCCCCGCGCGAUGAAGAACGCGGAGAAGCUGGCUUCCUCCAAGAAGCAGCCCAAGUACCCCG
This 660-nucleotide long non-coding RNA is filed under the name Chlamydomonas reinhardtii. Its description in RNAcentral is "long non-coding RNA (CREI_LNC000497)". The record is from RNAcentral. Lineage: Eukaryota; Viridiplantae; Chlorophyta; Chlorophyceae; Chlamydomonadales; Chlamydomonadaceae.